This 120-nucleotide ribosomal RNA is filed under the name Lonsdalea quercina. Lineage: Bacteria; Pseudomonadati; Pseudomonadota; Gammaproteobacteria; Enterobacterales; Pectobacteriaceae. The record is from RNAcentral.
UGCCUGGCGGCGAUAGCGCGGUGGUCCCACCUGACCCCAUGCCGAACUCAGCAGUGAAACGCCGUAGCGCCGAUGGUAGUGUGGGGUCUCCCCAUGCGAGAGUAGGGAACUGCCAGGCAU